UACAGAGGGUGCAAGCGUUGUUCGGAAUCAUUGGGCGUAAAGGGCGCGUAGGCGGCCCGUCAAGUCCCGUGUGAAAGCCCCCGGCUCAACCGGGGAACGGCGCGGGAAACUAGCAGGCUUGAGUUCGGGAGAGGGAAGCGGAAUUCCGGGUGUAGCGGUGAAAUGCGCAGAUAUCCGGAGGAACACCGGUGGCGAAGGCGGCUUCCUGGACCGACACUGACGCUGAGGCGCGAAAGCUAGGGGAGCAAACGGG
Molecule: ribosomal RNA, 253 nt
Filed under: uncultured bacterium
Lineage: Bacteria
Description: partial 16S ribosomal RNA
Rfam family: Bacterial small subunit ribosomal RNA
Source: RNAcentral